ACGGAAGGCAGCAGUCGGGAAUAUUGCGCAAUGGAGGAAACUCUGACGCAGUGACGCCGCGUAUAGGAAGAAGGUUUUCGGAUUGUAAACUAUUGUCGUUAGGGAAGAUACAAGACAGUACCUAAGGAGGAAGCCCCGGCUAACUAUGUGCCAGCAGCCGCGGUAAUACAUAGGGGGCAAGCGUUAUCCGGAUUUAUUGGGUGUAAAGGGUGCGUAGACGGAGAUACAAGUUGGUUGUGAAAUCCCUCGGCUCAACUGAGGAACUGCAACCAAAACUAUAUCCCUUGAGUGUCGGAGGGGAAAGUGGAAUUCCUAGUGUAGCGGUGAAAUGCGUAGAUAUUGGGAGGAACACCAGUGGCGAAGGCGGCUUUCUGGACUGUAACUGACGCUGAGGCGCGAGAGCGUGGGGAGCAAACAGGAUUAGAUACCCUGGUA
The sequence is a ribosomal RNA, 435 nucleotides long. It matches the Rfam family "Bacterial small subunit ribosomal RNA", at positions 341 to 792 of the family's 1533-position model.